Molecule: non-coding RNA, 106 nt
Organism: Gossypium hirsutum (cotton)
Lineage: Eukaryota; Viridiplantae; Streptophyta; Magnoliopsida; Malvales; Malvaceae
Source: Rfam
AAUCCAUGGUGUGGGCACUUCUGAAUCAACAUUUUAAAAUACUCCCAUGCUUCGUGAAAUUUUUCUCCUUCUAACUGCUUGAACAUUAAAAUUUUCUUUCUUAGCU